This 509-nucleotide unclassified non-coding RNA is filed under the name uncultured Bordetella sp. RNAcentral's name for it is "partial 16S-23S ribosomal RNA intergenic spacer". It matches the Rfam family "Bacterial small subunit ribosomal RNA", at positions 1 to 515 of the family's 1533-position model. Lineage: Bacteria; Pseudomonadati; Pseudomonadota; Betaproteobacteria; Burkholderiales; Alcaligenaceae. The record is from RNAcentral.
AGUUUGAUUAGCUCCAGAUUGAACGCUGGCGGGAUGCUUUACACGCCCACAAGUCGAACGGCAGCACGGACUUCGGUCUGGUGGCGAGUGGCGAACGGGUGAGUAAUGUAUCGGAACGUGCCUAGUAGCGGGGGAUAACUACGCGAAAGCGUAGCUAAUACUGCACAUACGCCCUUCGGGGAAAGCGGGGGACCUUCGGGCCUCGCACUAUUAGAGCGGCCGAUAUCGGAUUGGCUAGUUGGUGGGGGUAACGGCUCACCAAGGCGUGAUCCGUAGCUGGUUUGAGAGGACGACCAGCCACACUGGGACUGAGACACGGACAGACUCCUACGGGAGGCAACAGUGAAAUUUUGGACAAUGGGGAAACCUGAUCCAGCCAUCCCGCGUGUGCGAUGAAGGCCUUCGAGUUGUAAAGCACUUUUGGCAGGAAAGAAACGGCACGGGAUAAUACCCCGUGCAACUGACUGACUCACCUGCAGAAUAAGCACCGGUAACUACGUGCCAGCCGC